Molecule: ribosomal RNA, 141 nt
Filed under: Anabaenopsis sp. FSS-46
Lineage: Bacteria; Bacillati; Cyanobacteriota; Cyanophyceae; Nostocales; Nodulariaceae
Description: partial 16S ribosomal RNA
Rfam family: Bacterial small subunit ribosomal RNA
Source: RNAcentral
AAAACGGAGAGUUUGAUCCUGGCUCAGGAUGAACGCUGGCGGUAUGCUUAACACAUGCAAGUCGAACGGUCUCUUCGGAGAUAGUGGCGGACGGGUGAGUAACGCGUGAGAAUCUAGCUUCAGGUCGGGGACAACCACUGG